AAAGAUUAAGCCAUGCAUGUCUAAGUAUAAGCAAUUAUACCGCGAAACUGCGAAUGGCUCAUUAUAUAAGUUAUCGUUUAUUUGAUAGUACCUUACUACUUGGAUAACCGUGGUAAUUCUAGAGCUAAUACAUGCUAAAAAUCCCGACUUCGGAAGGGAUGUAUUUAUUAGAUUAAAAACCAAUGCCCUCCGGGGCUCACUGGUGAUUCAUGAUAACUUCUCGAAUCGCAUGGCCUUGCGCCGGCGAUGGUUCAUUCAAAUUUCUUCCCUAUCAACUUUCGAUGUUUGGGUAUUGGCCAAACAUGGUUG
Molecule: ribosomal RNA, 309 nt
Filed under: uncultured fungus
Lineage: Eukaryota; Fungi
Description: SSU rRNA
Rfam family: Eukaryotic small subunit ribosomal RNA
Source: RNAcentral